Molecule: ribosomal RNA, 330 nt
Filed under: uncultured Coprococcus sp.
Lineage: Bacteria; Bacillati; Bacillota; Clostridia; Lachnospirales; Lachnospiraceae
Description: partial 16S ribosomal RNA
Source: RNAcentral
GGAGUCUGGGCCGUGUCUCAGUCCCAAUGUGGCCGUUCACCCUCUCAGGCCGGCUAUGGAUCGUCGCCUUGGUGGGCCGUUACCCCGCCAACUAGCUAAUCCAACGCGGGUCCAUCCUGUACCACCGGAGUUUUUCACACUUGACCAUGCGGUCAUGUGCGCUUAUGCGGUAUUAGCAGUGAUUUCUCACUGUUAUCCCCCGGUACAGGGCAGGUUCCCCACGCGUUACUCACCCGUCCGCCACUAAACUUAAAACUUCGUCGGCCGAAGCCUCUGUCAUAAUAAGUCCCGUUCGACUCGCAUGUGUUAGGCACGCCGCCAGCGUUCAUC